Molecule: small nucleolar RNA, 72 nt
Filed under: Rhodnius prolixus
Lineage: Eukaryota; Metazoa; Arthropoda; Insecta; Hemiptera; Reduviidae
Source: RNAcentral
UUGCAAAGAUGGACAGAUUUUUUAAUACUGAGAAACUUGUAGAAAAAAACUAGAUUUUAAACCCAGAGCAAU